This 259-nucleotide ribosomal RNA is filed under the name uncultured prokaryote. RNAcentral's name for it is "partial 16S ribosomal RNA". It matches the Rfam family "Bacterial small subunit ribosomal RNA", at positions 524 to 782 of the family's 1533-position model. The record is from RNAcentral.
UACGUAGGUGGCAAGCGUUAUCCGGAAUUAUUGGGCGUAAAGAGCGCGCAGGUGGUUGAUUAAGUCUGAUGUGAAAGCCCACGGCUUAACCGUGGAGGGUCAUUGGAAACUGGUCGACUUGAGUGCAGAAGAGGGAAGUGGAAUUCCAUGUGUAGCGGUGAAAUGCGUAGAUAUAUGGAGGAACACCAGUGGCGAAGGCGACUCUCUGGUCUGUAACUGACGCUGAGGCUCGAAAGCGUGGGGAGCAAACAGGAUUAGA